AACGCACAUUGCGCCCCUUGGUAUUCCAUGGGGCAUGCCUGUUCGAGCGUCAUUUGUACCUUCAAGCUUUGCUUGGUGUUGGGUGUUUGUCCUGAGGGACUCGCCUUAAAGUAAUUGGCAGCCAGUGUUUGGUUUUGAAGCGCAGCACAAGUCGCGAUUCAAGGCUAUACACCAGCUUCCACAAGCCUUUUUCACUUUUGACCUCGGAUCAGGUAGGGAUACCCGCUGAACUUAA
Molecule: unclassified non-coding RNA, 235 nt
Filed under: uncultured fungus
Lineage: Eukaryota; Fungi
Also listed under: 1 other name
Description: sequence contains ITS2
Source: RNAcentral